RNAcentral lists this ribosomal RNA (497 nucleotides) under uncultured bacterium. RNAcentral describes it as "partial 16S ribosomal RNA". It matches the Rfam family "Bacterial small subunit ribosomal RNA", at positions 28 to 507 of the family's 1533-position model. The record is from RNAcentral.
GACGAACGCUGGCGGCGUGCCUAAUACAUGCAAGUUGAGCGCUGAAGGUUGGUACUUGUACCAACUGGAUGAGCAGCGAACGGGUGAGUAACGCGUGGGGAAUCUGCCUUUUAGCGGGGGACAACAUUUGGAAACGAAUGCUAAUACCGCAUAAAAACUUUAAACACAAGUUUUAAGUUUGAAAGAUGCCAUUGCAUCACUCAAAGAUGAUCCCGCGUUGUAUUAGCUAGUUGGUGAGGUAAAGGCUCACCAAGGCGAUGAUACAUAGCCGACCUGAGAAGGUGAUCGGCCACAUUGGGACUGAGACACGGCCCAAACUCCUACGGGAGGCAGCAGUAGGGAAUCUUCGGCAAUGGACGAAAGUCUGACCGAGCAACGCCGCGUGAGUGAAGAAGGUUUUCGGAUCGUAAAACUCUGUUGGUAGAGAAGAACGUUGGUGAGAGUGGAAAGAUCAUCAAGUGACGGUAACUACCCAGAAAGGGACGGCUAACUACGUG